Molecule: ribosomal RNA, 122 nt
Filed under: Thermoplasmata archaeon
Lineage: Archaea; Methanobacteriati; Thermoplasmatota; Thermoplasmata
Source: RNAcentral
UUUGACGGCCAAAGUGGCGGGGCCACACCUGGUCUCAUCCCGAACCCAGAAGUUAAGCCCGCCUACGUUCUUUGCGGUACUGAGGUGCGCGAGCCCUCGGGAAGCUCAAGGUCCUUGCGACC